RNAcentral lists this ribosomal RNA (187 nucleotides) under Bacillus thuringiensis. Its description in RNAcentral is "partial 16S ribosomal RNA". It matches the Rfam family "Bacterial small subunit ribosomal RNA", at positions 1 to 181 of the family's 1533-position model. Lineage: Bacteria; Bacillati; Bacillota; Bacilli; Caryophanales; Bacillaceae. The record is from RNAcentral.
UUUAUUGGAGAGUUUGAUCCUGGCUCAGGAUGAACGCUGGCGGCGUGCCUAAUACAUGCAAGUCGAGCGAAUGGAUUGAGAGCUUGCUCUCAAGAAGUUAGCGGCGGACGGGUGAGUAACACGUGGGUAACCUGCCCAUAAGACUGGGAUAACUCCGGGAAACCGGGGCUAAUACCGGAUAACAUUU